This 330-nucleotide ribosomal RNA is filed under the name uncultured bacterium. RNAcentral's name for it is "bacterial SSU rRNA". It matches the Rfam family "Bacterial small subunit ribosomal RNA", at positions 568 to 898 of the family's 1533-position model. The record is from RNAcentral.
UAUGUAGGUGGUUUCGCAAGUUUGGUGUGAAAUCUCCCGGCUCAACUGGGAGGGUGCGCCGAAAACUGCGAGGCUAGAGUGCGGGAGAGGAGAGCGGAAUUCCUGGUGUAGCGGUGAAAUGCGUAGAUAUCAGGAGGAACACCUGCGGUGUAGACGGCUCUCUGGACCGCUACUGACACUGAGAUACGAAAGCGUGGGGAGCAAACAGGAUUAGAUACCCUGGUAGUCCACGCCCUAAACGAUGCACACUUGGUGUGGGCAGUUCAUUCUGUCCGUGCCGGAGCUAACGCGUUAAGUGUGCCGCCUGGGGAGUACGGUCGCAAGGCUGAA